CCUACGGGAGGCAGCAGUAAGGAAUAUUGGUCAAUGGACGCAAGUCUGAACCAGCCAUGCCGCGUGAAGGAUGAAGGCCCUCUGGGUUGUAAACUUCUUUUAUAGGGGACGAAAAAAGGGAAUUCUUUCUCACUUGACGGUACCCUAGGAAUAAGCACCGGCUAACUCCGUGCCAGCAGCCGCGGUAAUACGGAGGGUGCAAGCGUUAUCCGGAUUCACUGGGUUUAAAGGGUGCGUAGGUGGGCAUUUAAGUCAGUGGUGAAAUCUCCGGGCUUAACCCGGAAACUGCCAUUGAUACUAUUUGUCUUGAAUAUUGUGGAGGUAAGCGGAAUAUGUCAUGUAGCGGUGAAAUGCUUAGAUAUGACAUAGAACACCCAUUGCGAAGGCAGCUUACUACGCAAAUAUUGACACUGAGGCACGAAAGCGUGGGGAUCAAACAGGAUUAGAUACCCUGGUAGUCCACGCCCUAAACGAUGGAUACUCGACAUCAGCGAUACACAGUUGGUGUCUGAGCGAAAGCAUUAAGUAUCCCACCUGGAAGUACGACCGCAAGGUUGAAACUCAAAGAGUAGUAGGCGNGAGAGAGCGACGACGACGACGACGGAGGAGGAGG
Molecule: ribosomal RNA, 613 nt
Filed under: uncultured bacterium
Lineage: Bacteria
Description: bacterial SSU rRNA
Rfam family: Bacterial small subunit ribosomal RNA
Source: RNAcentral